RNAcentral lists this ribosomal RNA (1139 nucleotides) under Batrachospermum gelatinosum. Its description in RNAcentral is "eukaryotic LSU rRNA". It matches the Rfam family "Eukaryotic large subunit ribosomal RNA", at positions 30 to 1265 of the family's 3401-position model. The record is from RNAcentral. Lineage: Eukaryota; Rhodophyta; Florideophyceae; Batrachospermales; Batrachospermaceae.
GAAUUUAAGCAUAUAACUAAGCGGAGGAAAAGAAACUAACAAGGAUUCCCCUAGUAGCGGCGAGCGAAGCGGGAAGAGCCCGGGAUGAAAAUCUCUUCGGAGAGUUGUAGUCUGAGCUCCCUUGGGCGGUCAGUGUGGGUAAAUCGUCUGGGAUGACGUGCCAGGGAGGGUGAGAGCCCCGUCCAGCCCACACAGGACCCGCCCGCACGAGGGCGCUUCAACCGAGUCGGGUAGCUUGGGAAUGCUGCUCCAAAUGGUGGUAAAUCUCAUCAAAGGCUAAAUAACGGUGGGAGACCGAUAGCGAACAAGUACCGUGAGGGAAAGAUGGAAAGAACUUUGAAAAGAGAGUGAAAAGCGCUUGAAACCGUCACGGGGGAAGCGGAUUGCGUGAGUGAUGGCGUGCACUGUUCAGCUCAAAGUGUGGAGUGUAUUCUGUGCACGCCGGGCGUGUGUGGCUGGGGCGCGUGCGAUGUUGGCACGCGCACCUGGUGAGGGCUCCCCGCUUGUCGGGUGAGGACACACGCGAAAUGACGCAAUACGACCCGUCUUGAAACACGGACCAAGGAGUCUAGCACGGCUGCGAGUCGAAGGGUGUGAAAACCCAGAGGGCGCAGUGAAAGCGAAAGAAAGCAAAUUGGGGAGGCGUUGCGGUUUUACCAAAGUGUCCUACCUCGAGCACCUGUGCUGGGACCCGAAAGAUGGUGAACUAUGCCGGAGUAGGGCAAAGCCAGAGGAAACUCUGGUGGAGGCUCGUAGCGAUGCUGACGUGCAAAUCGCUCGUCGAACUUGGGUAUAGGGGCGAAAGACUAAUCGAACCAUCUAGUAGCUGGUUCCCUCCGAAGUUUCUCUCAGGAUAGCGGGCCGACGAUCAAGUUGUUUUGUGCGGUAAAGCGAAUGAUUAGUGCAUUUGGGGUCCGAAGGACGUCAGGCGAUUCUCAAACUUUAAAUGCGCAAGGGGGCGGCUGCUUAAUUGAGCCUGCUCUUUGAAAAACGUCGGCCCUGUGGGCCACUUUUGGUAAGCAGAACUGGCGAUAAGGGAUGAACCUUAAGCGCGGUUAAGGCGCCGUAUUGCCCGCUUAUAGACCCCACAAAAGGUGUUGAUUCAUCCAGACAGCAGGACGGUGGCCAUGGAAGUCGGA